This 253-nucleotide ribosomal RNA is filed under the name uncultured bacterium. Its description in RNAcentral is "partial 16S ribosomal RNA". It matches the Rfam family "Bacterial small subunit ribosomal RNA", at positions 524 to 776 of the family's 1533-position model. The record is from RNAcentral.
CACGUAGGGCGCAAGCGUUGUCCGGAAUUAUUGGGCGUAAAGAGCUCGUAGGCGGUCUGUUGCGUCUGCUGUGAAAACCCGGGGCUUAACCCCUGGCUUGCAGUGGAUACGGACAGACUAGAGGUAGGUAGGGGAGAAUGGAAUUCCCGGUGUAGCGGUGAAAUGCGCAGAUAUCGGGAGGAACACCGGUGGCGAAGGCGGUUCUCUGGGCCGUACCUGACACUGAGGAGCGAAAGCGUGGGGAGCGAACAGG